UUGAAGAGUUUGAUCAUGGCUCAGAUUGAACGCUGGCGGCAGGCCUAACACAUGCAAGUCGAGCGGUAGCACAGAGAGCUUGCUCUCGGGUGACGAGCGGCGGACGGGUGAGUAAUGUCUGGGAAACUGCCUGAUGGAGGGGGAUAACUACUGGAAACGGUAGCUAAUACCGCAUAAUGUCGCAAGACCAAAGUGGGGGACCUUCGGGCCUCAUGCCAUCAGAUGUGCCCAGAUGGGAUUAGCUAGUAGGUGGGGUAAUGGCUCACCUAGGCGACGAUCCCUAGCUGGUCUGAGAGGAUGACCAGCCACACUGGAACUGAGACACGGUCCAGACUCCUACGGGAGGCAGCAGUGGGGAAUAUUGCACAAUGGGCGCAAGCCUGAUGCAGCCAUGCCGCGUGUGUGAAGAAGGCCUUCGGGUUGUAAAGCACUUUCAGCGGGGAGGAAGGCGAUAAGGUUAAUAACCUUAGCGAUUGACGUUACCCGCAGAAGAAGCACCGGCUAACUCCGUGCCAGCAGCCGCGGUAAUACGGAGGGUGCAAGCGUUAAUCGGAAUUACUGGGCGUAAAGCGCACGCAGGCGGUCUGUCAAGUCGGAUGUGAAAUCCCCGGGCUCAACCUGGGAACUGCAUUCGAAACUGGCAGGCUAGAGUCUUGUAGAGGGGGGUAGAAUUCCAGGUGUAGCGGUGAAAUGCGUAGAGAUCUGGAGGAAUACCGGUGGCGAAGGCGGCCCCCUGGACAAAGACUGACGCUCAGGUGCGAAAGCGUGGGGAGCAAACAGGAUUAGAUACCCUGGUAGUCCACGCCGUAAACGAUGUCGAUUUGGAGGUUGUGCCCUUGAGGCGUGGCUUCCGGAGCUAACGCGUUAAAUCGACCGCCUGGGGAGUACGGCCGCAAGGUUAAAACUCAAAUGAAUUGACGGGGGCCCGCACAAGCGGUGGAGCAUGUGGUUUAAUUCGAUGCAACGCGAAGAACCUUACCUGGUCUUGACAUCCACAGAACUUUCCAGAGAUGGAUUGGUGCCUUCGGGAACUGUGAGACAGGUGCUGCAUGGCUGUCGUCAGCUCGUGUUGUGAAAUGUUGGGUUAAGUCCCGCAACGAGCGCAACCCUUAUCCUUUGUUGCCAGCGGUCCGGCCGGGAACUCAAAGGAGACUGCCAGUGAUAAACUGGAGGAAGGUGGGGAUGACGUCAAGUCAUCAUGGCCCUUACGACCAGGGCUACACACGUGCUACAAUGGCAUAUACAAAGAGAAGCGACCUCGCGAGAGCAAGCGGACCUCAUAAAGUAUGUCGUAGUCCGGAUUGGAGUCUGCAACUCGACUCCAUGAAGUCGGAAUCGCUAGUAAUCGUAGAUCAGAAUGCUACGGUGAAUACGUUCCCGGGCCUUGUACACACCGCCCGUCACACCAUGGGAGUGGGUUGCAAAAGAAGUAGGUAGCUUAACCUUCGGGAGGGCGCUUACCACUUUGUGAUUCAUGACUGGGGUGAAGUCGUAACAAGGUAACCGUAGGGGAACCUGCGGUUGGAUCACCUCCUU
This 1536-nucleotide ribosomal RNA is filed under the name Klebsiella pneumoniae. RNAcentral describes it as "bacterial SSU rRNA". It matches the Rfam family "Bacterial small subunit ribosomal RNA". The record is from RNAcentral. Lineage: Bacteria; Pseudomonadati; Pseudomonadota; Gammaproteobacteria; Enterobacterales; Enterobacteriaceae.